CACAGGUGAUGAGCUGCUGCUGGCUCUUGUUUCAAUUUGUCAUGUAGAGGUCUUGUUUGAUUUCACCCAGUUCACCUUCCCGAGUCCGUGUGCACUCUGCCACGCACUCUCUCUCGUUUCCACUCCGACCAAUCCUGGAUGGCAGCAGCUCCUCACCUGCACCUCAUUGACAGCCAAUUAGGCCAGACCAUAUAAACGUCGUGUGUUCCGUUGUCAGUGGCCAGUUUGUUGCGCUUGAGAUUGUGUCACUGUGUGUGAGUUUGUGUUACCGGCCUCAGACCUGGAAGAAUCUGAGUCGGCAGAAGUGAUCCACAGGUGGUAGGCACUGUGGAUCUGUGAACAGAAUUGAGCCCGUAUGUCUUGCUCAUGUGUGGGCAGAGGCUCACCUUCCUCACGCUUCAAUUCAGCGGGUGCAGCGCAGGAGUGCCGUCUACUGACUACUUCGCCAAAUAUCAUCACAGUGAAAAAUUGUCAGUCACUGUCAGAAAAGUAAUCACCUUUAAAAAAACGUGUGCGUUAUAAACUUUUGACUCGAGGCGGUUUCUAAACCUUCGACACAUGCAAGCGUUUUGUUAGCAUAUCUCCCUCGUUACAGCAUUUCUGUGCCACCUUGUCAAGUCUUGUUCAUGUUUCAAGUUGAGCCUUGGACCUCGUUUCUGGAUUUUUGGACUUUGCCUUUUUGCUACGUGUUUUUUGUGGUUCUCCCUUUUUUGGACUGCUCACCUGUGUAUGAUCUGUUCCAUAAUUAAACUCCCCUCAAAAAUCAUGUCCCUGCAUUUGGGUCCUACUCCUAAAAGUUGUAUUAGGAUUAGUUCAAGCUUUCACUUCAUAGUUUUUUCACAGAGAAAAAUGAUUUGAAAAUUAUUGUACAUGGUUUUAUACCUUUCACAUUUCAAAUUAAAUUAUUCAGGUGCAAUAUUUUUUUCUAAACUAAAAGUUUAGAAUGACCUCAGCCAGAAUUAAACUCCCCUCAAUCCUCGACCUAUCCCUGCAUUUGGGUCGUACCUCUUGCCAAAAUCCAAAUAAUAACAGAUGAGAAAAUACAAACAAAAAAUUUGACAGAUUGAAACAAUAAUUUUACUGAUUUGGGUGUUUGUUGACCUUCAAGAAGUAUUUCUGGUCCACACGGGAGCAUUUCAGUACAUUUUAGCAUCUUUCACACCACAAAAUGAAAAACUUCAAUUAAUUCAUUUACUUUAAACCACCCCUGAAAUUCAAAUUUUUUCAGAAUUUAAAAACUCUCAAAUCAAGUUCAGUUUUUGUUUUAAAUUCAUUUGAAUUGUAAUUUUACAUGCAGUAAUUUGACAAUUAACUGCUAGAUUUUGAGAAUUCAAGAAUGAUUUUUUUUUUUUUUUAUAAUAAUUUUUUUGUUGAAAAAACAAACAAAUCCAGGCUGACUUUUUUUAGGAUGAGCUGUUAAAGGGUUAAUGCCAAAAUACUCCCUGGAAAAAAAAACUACAAAUAUACUGGUACUCCCUAA
This is a long non-coding RNA of Syngnathoides biaculeatus (alligator pipefish), 1480 nucleotides long. RefSeq lists it as uncharacterized. The transcript is spliced from 2 exons. The record is from RefSeq and is a predicted model, not a curated record. NCBI's taxonomy places the organism in Eukaryota, Metazoa, Chordata, Actinopteri, Syngnathiformes, Syngnathidae.